Molecule: transfer RNA, 73 nt
Filed under: Hofstenia miamia
Lineage: Eukaryota; Metazoa; Xenacoelomorpha; Acoela; Hofsteniidae
Description: tRNA-Phe for anticodon AAA
Source: RNAcentral
CGCACCAUGGUCUAGUGGUUAUCACAUCUUUUUAAAACGCAUGAGGUCCCCAGAUCGAGCCUGGGUGGUGUCA